This 22-nucleotide microRNA is filed under the name Branchiostoma floridae (Florida lancelet). Its description in RNAcentral is "Bfl-Mir-2057_3p* (star (passenger))". Lineage: Eukaryota; Metazoa; Chordata; Leptocardii; Amphioxiformes; Branchiostomatidae. RNAcentral also lists the same sequence under 1 other name. The record is from RNAcentral.
GGGUGGUGGUUGACUUCUUUCU